This 443-nucleotide ribosomal RNA is filed under the name uncultured bacterium. RNAcentral describes it as "partial 16S ribosomal RNA". It matches the Rfam family "Bacterial small subunit ribosomal RNA", at positions 338 to 795 of the family's 1533-position model. The record is from RNAcentral.
CCUACGGGCGGCAGCAGUGGGGAAUAUUGGGCAAUGGGCGCAAGCCUGACCCAGCAACGCCGCGUGAAGGAAGAAGGCUUUCGGGUUGUAAACUUCUUUUGUCAGGGACGAAGCAAGUGACGGUACCUGACGAAUAAGCCACGGCUAAAUACGUGCCAGCAGCAGGGGUAAUACGUAGGUGGCAAGCGUUAUCCGGAUUUACUGGGUGUAAAGGGCGUGUAGGCGGGACUGCAAGUCAGAUGUGAAAACCACGGGCUCAACCUGUGGCCCGCAUUUGAAACUGUAGUUCUUGAGUACUGGAGAGGCAGACGGAAUUCGUAGUGUAGCGGUGAAAUGCGUAGAUAUUAGGAGGAACACCGGUGGCGAAGGCGGUCUGCUGGACAGCAACUGACGCUGAGGCGCGAAAGCGUGGGUAGCAAACAGGAUUAGAUACCCCAGUAGUC